UAGGGAAUCUUCGGCAAUGGACGAAAGUCUGACCGAGCAACGCCGCGUGAGUGAAGAAGGUUUUCGGAUCGUAAAACUCUGUUGUUAGAGAAGAACAAGGACGUUAGUAACUGAACGUCCCCUGACGGUAUCUAACCAGAAAGCCACGGCUAACUACGUGCCAGCAGCCGCGGUAAUACGUAGGUGGCAAGCGUUGUCCGGAUUUAUUGGGCGUAAAGCGAGCGCAGGCGGUUUCUUAAGUCGGAUGUGAAAGCCCCCGGCUCAACCGGGGAGGGUCAUUGGAAACUGGGAGACUUGAGUGCAGAAGAGGAGAGUGGAAUUCCAUGUGGAGCGGUGAAAUGAGUAGAUAUAUGGAGGAACACCAGUGGCGAAGGCGGCUCUCUGGUCUGUAACUGACGCUGAGGCUCGAAAGAGUGGGGAGCAAACAGG
RNAcentral lists this ribosomal RNA (429 nucleotides) under Chloroflexota bacterium. Its description in RNAcentral is "Chloroflexi bacterium partial 16S ribosomal RNA". It matches the Rfam family "Bacterial small subunit ribosomal RNA", at positions 355 to 776 of the family's 1533-position model. Lineage: Bacteria; Bacillati; Chloroflexota. The record is from RNAcentral.